GGGAGCUCGGUGGAUAUUCAUAGCCAUAGAAGUAGAAACUGUAAGGACAACAGCAUCAGUCCCAUCGAACAACGUCUGAAAAUAAAAACUCGGAUUUAAAGCCAUGUUUGUAUUGCUGAAAGUGAACACGACUGAAAUGAGAAACAUGAACUAACUUGGCGUCAGACGUGGUACCAGGUCCUGCUUGUUCAGGGAAACUUCGGUUUGGAUGAUGCAUUUUCUUGUCUAAAUGAUAGCACUGCUGAUCUGCAAGUUAUGGUUGUGGAUUUCGAACUUCCGGUCCUGAGGAUGGAUAAAAUGGGUGGUGUCAAAGAAUAAUAUUCCUACUAAAACUGGGUGGACCAUCCAUGGACAACUAUAAAGCAAACGUCAAAUGGUCACUACGUGAUCUCAAUCGCUACCUGGUGGAAGCAUACAUGUACAUGAUAAUUCUUCCUUAUAAGUGAUUUGUCCUACGCGUAUGUUUGAUGUCUGAUACUAA
Molecule: long non-coding RNA, 481 nt
Organism: Ostrea edulis (European flat oyster)
Lineage: Eukaryota; Metazoa; Mollusca; Bivalvia; Ostreida; Ostreidae
Exons: 3
Source: RefSeq, a predicted model, not a curated record